This 2901-nucleotide ribosomal RNA is filed under the name Escherichia coli. RNAcentral describes it as "bacterial LSU rRNA". It matches the Rfam family "Bacterial large subunit ribosomal RNA". The record is from RNAcentral. Lineage: Bacteria; Pseudomonadati; Pseudomonadota; Gammaproteobacteria; Enterobacterales; Enterobacteriaceae.
UUAAGCGACUAAGCGUACACGGUGGAUGCCCUGGCAGUCAGAGGCGAUGAAGGACGUGCUAAUCUGCGAUAAGCGUCGGUAAGGUGAUAUGAACCGUUAUAACCGGCGAUUUCCGAAUGGGGAAACCCAGUGUGAUUCGUCACACUAUCAUUAACUGAAUCCAUAGGUUAAUGAGGCGAACCGGGGGAACUGAAACAUCUAAGUACCCGAGGAAAAGAAAUCAACCGAGAUUCCCCCAGUAGCGGCGAGCGAACGGGGAGCAGCCCAGAGCCUGAAUCAGUGUGUGUGUUAGUGGAAGCGUCUGGAAAGGCGCGCGAUACAGGGUGACAGCCCCGUACACAAAAAUGCACAUAUUGUGAGCUCGAUGAGUAGGGCGGGACACGUGGUAUCCUGUCUGAAUAUGGGGGGACCAUCCUCCAAGGCUAAAUACUCCUGACUGACCGAUAGUGAACCAGUACCGUGAGGGAAAGGCGAAAAGAACCCCGGCGAGGGGAGUGAAAAAGAACCUGAAACCGUGUACGUACAAGCAGUGGGAGCACGCUUAGGCGUGUGACUGCGUACCUUUUGUAUAAUGGGUCAGCGACUUAUAUUCUGUAGCAAGGUUAACCGAAUAGGGGAGCCGAAGGGAAACCGAGUCUUAACUGGGCGUUAAGUUGCAGGGUAUAGACCCGAAACCCGGUGAUCUAGCCAUGGGCAGGUUGAAGGUUGGGUAACACUAACUGGAGGACCGAACCGACUAAUGUUGAAAAAAUUAGCGGAUGACUUGUGGCUGGGGGUGAAAGGCCAAUCAAACCGGGAGAUAGCUGGUUCUCCCCGAAAGCUAUUUAGGUAGCGCCUCGUGAAUUCAUCUCCGGGGGUAGAGCACUGUUUCGGCAAGGGGGUCAUCCCGACUUACCAACCCGAUGCAAACUGCGAAUACCGGAGAAUGUUAUCACGGGAGACACACGGCGGGUGCUAACGUCCGUCGUGAAGAGGGAAACAACCCAGACCGCCAGCUAAGGUCCCAAAGUCAUGGUUAAGUGGGAAACGAUGUGGGAAGGCCCAGACAGCCAGGAUGUUGGCUUAGAAGCAGCCAUCAUUUAAAGAAAGCGUAAUAGCUCACUGGUCGAGUCGGCCUGCGCGGAAGAUGUAACGGGGCUAAACCAUGCACCGAAGCUGCGGCAGCGACGCUUAUGCGUUGUUGGGUAGGGGAGCGUUCUGUAAGCCUGUGAAGGUGUACUGUGAGGUAUGCUGGAGGUAUCAGAAGUGCGAAUGCUGACAUAAGUAACGAUAAAGCGGGUGAAAAGCCCGCUCGCCGGAAGACCAAGGGUUCCUGUCCAACGUUAAUCGGGGCAGGGUGAGUCGACCCCUAAGGCGAGGCCGAAAGGCGUAGUCGAUGGGAAACAGGUUAAUAUUCCUGUACUUGGUGUUACUGCGAAGGGGGACGGAGAAGGCUAUGUUGGCCGGGCGACGGUUGUCCCGGUUUAAGCGUGUAGGCUGGUUUUCCAGGCAAAUCCGGAAAAUCAAGGCUGAGGCGUGAUGACGAGGCACUACGGUGCUGAAGCAACAAAUGCCCUGCUUCCAGGAAAAGCCUCUAAGCAUCAGGUAACAUCAAAUCGUACCCCAAACCGACACAGGUGGUCAGGUAGAGAAUACCAAGGCGCUUGAGAGAACUCGGGUGAAGGAACUAGGCAAAAUGGUGCCGUAACUUCGGGAGAAGGCACGCUGAUAUGUAGGUGAAGCGACUUGCUCGUGGAGCUGAAAUCAGUCGAAGAUACCAGCUGGCUGCAACUGUUUAUUAAAAACACAGCACUGUGCAAACACGAAAGUGGACGUAUACGGUGUGACGCCUGCCCGGUGCCGGAAGGUUAAUUGAUGGGGUCAGCGCAAGCGAAGCUCUUGAUCGAAGCCCCGGUAAACGGCGGCCGUAACUAUAACGGUCCUAAGGUAGCGAAAUUCCUUGUCGGGUAAGUUCCGACCUGCACGAAUGGCGUAAUGAUGGCCAGGCUGUCUCCACCCGAGACUCAGUGAAAUUGAACUCGCUGUGAAGAUGCAGUGUACCCGCGGCAAGACGGAAAGACCCCGUGAACCUUUACUAUAGCUUGACACUGAACAUUGAGCCUUGAUGUGUAGGAUAGGUGGGAGGCUUUGAAGUGUGGACGCCAGUCUGCAUGGAGCCGACCUUGAAAUACCACCCUUUAAUGUUUGAUGUUCUAACGUGGACCCGUAAUCCGGGUUGCGGACAGUGUCUGGUGGGUAGUUUGACUGGGGCGGUCUCCUCCUAAAGAGUAACGGAGGAGCACGAAGGUUGGCUAAUCCUGGUCGGACAUCAGGAGGUUAGUGCAAUGGCAUAAGCCAGCUUGACUGCGAGCGUGACGGCGCGAGCAGGUGCGAAAGCAGGUCAUAGUGAUCCGGUGGUUCUGAAUGGAAGGGCCAUCGCUCAACGGAUAAAAGGUACUCCGGGGAUAACAGGCUGAUACCGCCCAAGAGUUCAUAUCGACGGCGGUGUUUGGCACCUCGAUGUCGGCUCAUCACAUCCUGGGGCUGAAGUAGGUCCCAAGGGUAUGGCUGUUCGCCAUUUAAAGUGGUACGCGAGCUGGGUUUAGAACGUCGUGAGACAGUUCGGUCCCUAUCUGCCGUGGGCGCUGGAGAACUGAGGGGGGCUGCUCCUAGUACGAGAGGACCGGAGUGGACGCAUCACUGGUGUUCGGGUUGUCAUGCCAAUGGCACUGCCCGGUAGCUAAAUGCGGAAGAGAUAAGUGCUGAAAGCAUCUAAGCACGAAACUUGCCCCGAGAUGAGUUCUCCCUGACCCUUUAAGGGUCCUGAAGGAACGUUGAAGACGACGACGUUGAUAGGCCGGGUGUGUAAGCGCAGCGAUGCGUUGAGCUAACCGGUACUAAUGAACCGUGAGGCUUAACCUU